AUUGAACGCUGGCGGCAUGCUUUACACAUGCAAGUCGAACGGCAGCGCGGGCUUCGGCCUGGCGGCGAGUGGCGAACGGGUGAGUAAUACAUCGGAACGUGCCCAGUAGUGGGGGAUAGCUCGGCGAAAGCCGGAUUAAUACCGCAUACGACCUGAGGGUGAAAGCGGGGGAUCUUCGGACCUCGCGCUAUUGGAGCGGCCGAUGGCAGAUUAGCUAGUUGGUGGGGUAAAGGCCUACCAAGGCGACGAUCUGUAGCUGGUCUGAGAGGACGACCAGCCACACUGGGACUGAGACACGGCCCAGACUCCUACGGGAGGCAGCAGUGGGGAAUUUUGGACAAUGGGCGAAAGCCUGAUCCAGCAAUGCCGCGUGUGUGAUGAAGGCCUUCGGGUUGUAAAGCACUUUUGGCGGGAACGAAAAGGACUGUGCCAAUACCACGGUUCGAUGACGGUACCCGCAGAAUAAGCACCGGCUAACUACG
Molecule: ribosomal RNA, 482 nt
Filed under: uncultured bacterium
Lineage: Bacteria
Description: partial 16S ribosomal RNA
Rfam family: Bacterial small subunit ribosomal RNA
Source: RNAcentral